CCCUCUUGGUUGGGACAUUGCAUAAGUUUCCCAUUGAAUCGCUCCCACACCUCAUAAAUAGGUUCUCCAUUCAAUUGAAGAAAGUUAGUGAUUAUGUCAUGCAAUUG
Capsicum annuum is the source of this 107-nucleotide non-coding RNA. Lineage: Eukaryota; Viridiplantae; Streptophyta; Magnoliopsida; Solanales; Solanaceae. The record is from Rfam.